UACGUAGGGAGCAAGCGUUGUCCGGAAUCAUUGGGCGUAAAGCGCGCGUAGGCGGCCUCGUAAGUCCGUUGUGAAAGUCAAAGGCUCAACCUUUGAAAGCCGAUGGAUACUGUGAGGCUAGAGUCCGGAAGAGGCGAGUGGAAUUCCCGGUGUAGUGGUGAAAUGCGUAGAGAUCGGGAGGAACACCAGUGGCGAAGGCGGCUCGCUGGGCCGGACCUGACGCUGAGACGCGAAGGCGUGGGGAGCGAACGGG
RNAcentral lists this ribosomal RNA (253 nucleotides) under uncultured bacterium. RNAcentral's name for it is "partial 16S ribosomal RNA". It matches the Rfam family "Bacterial small subunit ribosomal RNA", at positions 524 to 776 of the family's 1533-position model. The record is from RNAcentral.